GGGGUACUGUACGUGGUAGAGUAGCCUUGUUGCUACGAUCCACUGAGGUUAAGCCCUUGUUCUAAAGAUUUGUUC
Molecule: ribosomal RNA, 75 nt
Filed under: Armillaria fuscipes
Lineage: Eukaryota; Fungi; Basidiomycota; Agaricomycetes; Agaricales; Physalacriaceae
Also listed under: 3 other names
Description: partial large subunit ribosomal RNA
Rfam family: Eukaryotic large subunit ribosomal RNA
Source: RNAcentral